AUAGAAGCGAUCUUUUUCGUCUCUCUUCGUUUUUCAGCUGAGUUCUGCAUUCUAUUGUUGACAGAGAGUGAGAGAGAGGGAGAGGGUUGGUAACAGUGGGGGUUUCGGAUUCUCGGUUUCGAUUGAGCUGGCAAUCUUUUGAUCAAAUCAGACGAUCCGAUAGAGCAAUCAGAUAUCUUUGAGACUUUGAGCUUCAGAUACAUCAGGAGAAGUCCAUCGCAAUAUGACAGAUUGGAAGGUGCAUGCAUGUGAAGGUGUAGCAUCUCUCUUAUUCAUACUGUAUUGGAUUAUUGUAUGGAGUUGAUUCUGUCUUAUUUCGAUGAGGUCAGGUUAGAUAUUCCAUUUGUUUCCAUUUCUUAUUUCAAUGAUUGAUAAGGUUGGUAAUUAAAUUCCAUUUGUUUCCCAUAAUUGGAAGAGCUGGAGUCAUCUGAUUGGUAAUAUUUGAAAUUAACAGGUGAAGAAGGUAGGUAACUCAGAGCAAAGGAAGAGGGGGACGGGAACAAUCGCUUUGGCAUCGUUUAUAUUUGAAGUUUGAUCAUGUCUAGCUCAUAAUUGUUGAAUGGAAUCAUAUAUCCCAAUUUCAACUGUACCAAUGAUAGCACAGUGAAACAAAUGUUCAAUUGAUAGGUGUAUCAAUACGUAAUGGAAGAGAAAUCCUUUUAAAGGACGAUUGGAGAAGGUUAGAGGAGCCUUAUGGAAGUAUAUUCAUAAGUAUUCCAACUGUUCUUGAUUCAUCGUUGGCUCCAGAAGGGCACCGUAUUCUUCAUAUUUACGACCUCUUCCAUUGAAGACUGGGAGGGACUUCUCUCGAAAGGACUAUGAAUCAAAGAAGGAGCUUAUGGCAGAUGUCAUCAUUAGCAGAUUAGAGAAGAUACUAUUUCCAGGGCUUAAGUCAUCCAUCGUUUUUAAGGAGGAGACCAGCAUUGAAUCAGCAACAUCAUCGACCAAAACCAUCAACAAAGAAAAAAUGGACUGAAAUGUCAUGACACUUUUGGUGUAAAUAGAACUGGAGGAAGCAACUUUUUGGACAACCUCCACCACUGAUCAUCACUAGCUAACAACUUCUUAGCACACAUAUAUGCUAAUGGAAAUCAUCACUUAUUUUUGGCAAGCAGAUUAGGCAUUCAUUGUAAUUAAGUUAGCCUACAAGUAGAACAACUUAUUUUUGGCAAGCUGUUCCAACAGCAACUGUAACCUGUUUUUGAACACUAGAUUUUAGUAAAACAAGUUCUUGACGAGA
Long non-coding RNA from Rosa chinensis, 1240 nucleotides. RefSeq lists it as uncharacterized. Lineage: Eukaryota; Viridiplantae; Streptophyta; Magnoliopsida; Rosales; Rosaceae. The record is from RefSeq and is a predicted model, not a curated record. The transcript is spliced from 10 exons.